This is a small nucleolar RNA of Tachyglossus aculeatus (Australian echidna), 136 nucleotides long. The record is from RefSeq and is a predicted model, not a curated record. Lineage: Eukaryota; Metazoa; Chordata; Mammalia; Monotremata; Tachyglossidae.
AAUCUCUCAGGAUGGCACCUGGAGAGUUUCUAGUACUCUACCAGUCUCAACUAUGGGAGGGAGAGUUAAGCAGAGGCAUCCAUUCCAUUCUUAGUUUGGGCAGUGGCUAGUGAGUGGAAGGCAAUCUGCUACAAGU